Molecule: ribosomal RNA, 2932 nt
Filed under: Cohnella ginsengisoli
Lineage: Bacteria; Bacillati; Bacillota; Bacilli; Caryophanales; Paenibacillaceae
Description: 23S ribosomal RNA
Rfam family: Bacterial large subunit ribosomal RNA
Source: RNAcentral
GGUUAAGCUAUUAAGGGCGCACGGAGGAUGCCUAGGCGCCAGGAGCCUAAGAAGGACGCGGCGAACAGCGAAAUUGCCUCGGGGAGCCGUAAGCAGGCUUUGAUCCGGGGAUGUCCGAAUGGGGAAACCCGGCUGGGGUCAUGCCCAGUCACCUAUGAGUGAAUACAUAGCUCAUAAGGAGGCACACCCAGGGAACUGAAACAUCUAAGUACCUGGAGGAGAAGAAAACAAGAGUGAUUCCGUCAGUAGCGGCGAGCGAAAGCGGAUUAGCCCAAACCUGAGAGCUUGCUCUCAGGGGUUGUGGGACGUCUCACAUGGAGUUACAAAGGAGCAGGUUAGGCGAAGAGAUCUGGAAAGGUCCGGCAUAGAAGGUAAAAGCCCCGUAGCCGAAAGUCUGCUCCCUCCGAGACGGAUCCCGAGUACCGCGGGACACGAGAAACCCCGUGGGAAUCCGGCAGGACCAUCUGCCAAGGCUAAAUACUCCCUGGCGACCGAUAGUGAAGCAGUACCGUGAGGGAAAGGUGAAAAGCACCGCGGGAGCGGAGUGAAAAAGAACCUGAAACCGUGCGCUUACAAGAAGUCAGAGCCCGAUCUAGGGGUGAUGGCGUGCCUUUUGUAGAAUGAACCGGCGAGUUACGUUUACGUGCGAGGUUAAGUCGGAGAGACGGAGCCGCAGCGAAAGCGAGUCUGAAUAGGGCGCUUUAGUACGUAGUCGUAGACCCGAAACCGGGUGAUCUACCCCUGUGCAGGGUGAAGGUGAGGUAACACUUACUGGAGGCCCGAACUCGUGAGCGUUGAAAAGCUCUGGGAUGACGUGGGGGUAGGGGAGAAAUUCCAAUCGAACUCGGAGAUAGCUGGUUCUCCCCGAAAUAGCUUUAGGGCUAGCCUCGAGAUUUAGCAUCAUGGAGGUAGAGCACUGAUUGGGUGCGGGGCCCGCCAAGGGUUACCAAGUCCAGUCAAACUCCGAAUGCCAUGGAUGUAUGCUCGGGAGUCAGACGGCGAGUGCUAAGAUCCGUCGUCAAGAGGGAAAGAGCCCAGAUCAUCAGCUAAGGUCCCCAAGUGUGUGUUAAGUGGGAAAGGAUGUGGAGUUGCGAAGACAACCAGGAUGUUGGCUUAGAAGCAGCCACCAUUUAAAGAGUGCGUAAUAGCUCACUGGUCGAGUGACUCUGCGCCGAAAAUGUAACGGGGCUAAACACACCACCGAAGCUAUGGCAUGUACCUUAGGGUACUUGGGUAGGGGAGCGUUGAAUGCGGGUUGAAGUCGGACCGAGAGGACCGGUGGACUGCAUUCAAGUGAGAAUGCCGGUAUGAGUAACGAAAAGACAGGUGAGAAUCCUGUCCGCCGAAAGCCUAAGGGUUCCUGAGGAAGGUUCGUCCGCUCAGGGUAAGUCGGGACCUAAGGCGAGGCCGAAAGGCGUAGUCGAAGGACAACAGGUUGAAAUUCCUGUACCACCGUAAUCCGUUACGAGCGAUGGGGGGACGCAGGAGGGCAAGAACGCGAGCUGAUGGAAUAGCUCGUCCAAGCAGUGAGGGGUGUGUGUAGGCAAAUCCGCACACUAAUACCUUGAGCUGUGAUGGGGAGGGAAAAUUACAGUACCGAAGGUUCCGUGCUCACGCUGCCGAGAAAAGCCUCUAGCCAGGAGAAGGUGCCCGUACCGCAAACCGACACAGGUAGGCGAGAAGAGAAUUCUAAGGCGCGCGGAAGAACUCUCGUUAAGGAACUCGGCAAAAUGACCCCGUAACUUCGGGAGAAGGGGUGCCUCGGUAGGGUGAAUAGCCCGAGGGGGCCGCAGUGAAUAGGCCCAAGCGACUGUUUAGCAAAAACACAGGUCUGUGCGAAGCCGUAAGGCGAAGUAUACGGGCUGACGCCUGCCCGGUGCUGGAAGGUUAAGGGGAGCGGUUAGGGGCAACCCGAAGCUGUGAACCGAAGCCCCAGUAAACGGCGGCCGUAACUAUAACGGUCCUAAGGUAGCGAAAUUCCUUGUCAGGUAAAUUCUGACCCGCACGAAUGGCGUAACGACUUGGGCGCUGUCUCAACGAGAGAUCCGGUGAAAUUUUAGUACCUGUGAAGAUGCAGGUUACCCGCGACGUGACGGAAAGACCCCAUGGAGCUUUACUGUAGCUUGAUAUUGAACUUGGGUACGGUCUGUACAGGAUAGGUGGGAGCCUAGGAAGCCUGAGCGCAAGCUUAGGUGGAGGCGCCGUUGGGAUACCACCCUGAUCGUAUCUAGGUUCUAACCUGUCACCGUGAAUCCGGUGAAGGGACCGUGUCAGGCGGACAGUUUGACUGGGGCGGUCGCCUCCUAAAGCGUAACGGAGGCGCCCCAAGGUUCCCUCAGAAUGGUUGGAAAUCAUUCGAAGAGUGCAAAGGCAUAAGGGAGCUUGACUGCGAGACCUACAAGUCGAGCAGGGACGAAAGUCGGGCUUAGUGAUCCGGUGGUACCGAAUGGAAGGGCCAUCGCUCAACGGAUAAAAGCUACCCUGGGGAUAACAGGCUUAUCUCCCCCAAGAGUCCACAUCGACGGGGGAGGUUUGGCACCUCGAUGUCGGCUCAUCGCAUCCUGGGGCUGAAGUAGGUCCCAAGGGUUGGGCUGUUCGCCCAUUAAAGCGGUACGCGAGCUGGGUUCAGAACGUCGUGAGACAGUUCGGUCCCUAUCUGUCGCGGGCGUAGGAAAUUUGAGAGGGGCUGUCCUUAGUACGAGAGGACCGGGAUGGACGCACCGCUGGUGUACCAGUUGUUCCGCCAGGAGCAUCGCUGGGUAGCCAAGUGCGGGAGGGAUAAGCGCUGAAAGCAUCUAAGCGCGAAGCCCGCCUCAAGAUGAGAUUUCCCAGUAUGUAAGACCCCUUGGAGAACACGAGGUUGAUAGGCUCGGGGUGUAAGCACAGCAAUGUGUGUAGCUGACGAGUACUAAUCGGUCGAGGGCUUAUCCUA